AGAUUAAUAAUGAAAAGAACUGAAGCAGUUGUUAGGGAAUAAAAAUGAAAGAAAACAAGCCACUGCAAUCCCCACAAUCUCAGCAUCAUUCCCUUCCUGCUUUCUCUGUUAUUCCAGACCCCGAAAGAACAGUCCUGGGUCUGCACCGUGGUUCCAGCACCCUUCUGCCUUUUGACACUUCCCAGGCACUUCGGGAACAGAAGAUCUGGGCUUUCUCUGAGCUCCCUUGAUGCGCCCAAAGACUGAUCCUCCAAAAGGAACUCAACUGUCAUGAAUCUUCUCCCUGGGAAUCUUAGCAACCAGUGAAGAUUAUCUUGGACCACAGGAGAUAAGAUUGGAGUUUGGUGCCACACCCAGACUCUCACCUGCUCUUCUGAGGGCUGCUCUGAGACAACUUUUACCAUCUGAGAGAUCGCUUAGCUGCACGAAAACACAAGCUUUAUUCAACACGUAUUUCUUCCCUUCACCUUCCCAUGGCUUUUCUCCACCAACCCUUAGAAACCCCAAACCCCUAUUCCUUUCUAUAGCUCAGGAUAUUAUAUAAGCUUCAAUCAUCUGGCCCUUCUUCAAGUCACAUAUGUCUGUGGGACUCUGUGCAUCAUAUGUAAUUGAAUAUAGUUUUUGUCUUGUUAAUCUGUCUUAUGUCAAUUUAAUUAGCAGCCCAGCCAAGGAACAUAGAAGGGUGAAGGGAGCCAUUUUCACUCUCCUACAUCUGGAAAUCACACCCUACCAGAUUUCUCAACCUUGUCUUUUUUAUGGAAGGCUCAGCACUUAGGGACUUUUAGAAAUGGAAGCAAUCCGAAAUGAUUAUUGACGUGAAAGGGUGGUUCAUGAACAGCAGCAUCCACACUGCCUGCAAGCCCAUUGGUAAUGCAGAAUCUCAGCUUCACUGCAGACCUACUGAAUCAGAAUCUGCCUUUCAACCAGAUCUCCAGAUAAUUCAAGAGCAUAAUCAAGAAUGAGAAGUGCUCUUGUCCUUCAGCUCUGACCGAUCCCUUUCACUUCCCCUGAAAGACAGCCAACUCUCCGAAACUUUCCUUCUCAUCAGCUGUCACAGAGCUUUCUGAAGCAAUGCUGAAAGGAAGGAACAAGAAAUGCUGCCACAUUGCACUCCUCGGCCCCUCUGUCCUUCCUUUCCACCAGUUACCAAGCCCCCCAUGUCAGGGACAUCCCUCGGCCUUGGAGAUUCAGCAGUGACAUGAGCAAGGAUGCAGAUUCCAUUCUAAAAAGAAAAGACUGAAAACAGAGGAACCCAUAAGUGAGCAUCUUGACCUGCAGCAUUCUGGCCCACUCAGAUGGAAACCACCUUUGCAAGAAUUAUAACAGUAAGAAAAUUAUGGCAGUAAAAGAGAUAUGAUCUAACCCACCCUCCAUCUUGCCUUUCCCUUAAUUAUUGCUGGGCUUUUGGGCUAGCUAACUUUGGAAGAUAUUUAGGUUAUAGUUUAAAUGAUAAUAGCCCUUCCCCCAAACUUGACUCCCUCUAUAGAGCUAAUGAAAGGCCAUGGGGCUAUGGGGGUGGAGAGGAGCCUAAUUCUGCUAAGGUGCAGACAUAGAUUGCCAGCCAUUCCUGCAGAUAACACCACUAUUGUAGAUUGGCCUUUUGAGGUAGCUUGUCAGAUUUUUUGAAUGUCUGACACCUAUGGCUCCAACCCGACCCACCGAUCCCACUCCUGUGACCCCACCCAGAAGCAAUUCAGCAUGCAGGAGGACAGCUUCUAUCCCCCCAACCCCAUAUGAUUUCAUCUCUGACCCAGCCAAUCAGCAGCAAGCACUCAUUACCUGGCCGCCCUCACCUCUUCUCCCAAACUGCCUUUGAAAAACCCCUAACUAUGGGCCUUCAGGGAGAUUGAUUUGAGUAAUAACUCCGUCUCCCACGUGGUGUAACCGGCCUCCUGUCAAUUAAACUCUUUCUUUACUGCAAUGCCAUGGUCUUUAAUUGUGCAGUGAGCAGGAAGAAACUGUUGGGUGGUUACAAGAUGGAGUGUUAUUGGAAAGGGAAUGAACCAGAGGAAAGUGACACCACCUUUGCAAAAUUAUGACUGAGACAGUGAAAGAGAUCUAAUUUAACUGAAUCCAUCUUGCUUCUAACUGUCCUUGUUCAUUCCUGGGUGUAGGCUGAACUAGCUUUGGGAGAAACUUAGCUUAGUUUGUAGUUUAAACAAAGAUGGUAACAGCCCUUUCCCAAAGCAGACCUCCUUCUUGCCUGGGGACUAGAGUGCCUUUGUAGGACUAACAUUAGCCACAAGAUUAGAAAUUAUGGUUUAGAAGUCAUGCAACUGGAGGCUACAAGAUUCUGACCCUCCCUAAACUGCUCCUAAGAUCAGUGCUUGAGAUAUUUUACAGACCCUGCGCUUGAUGGAUCAGCUGGCCCCACCCAGAUCAAUAAACUGGCUCAUCUGAUCUUGUGGCCUCCACCCAGGAACUGACUCAGCGUUAGAAGACAGCUUCAACUCCCUAUGAUUUCAUCUCUGACCAAUCAGCCCUCCCGGUUCACUGGCUUUUACCCACCCACCAAGUUAUCCUUAAAAACUCUGCUCCCCGAAAGGUUGGAGAGACUUAUUUGAGUAAUAAUAAAACUCCGGUCUCCCACACAGCCGGCUCUGUGUGAAUUACUCUCUCUGUAUUGCACUUCCCUUGUCUUGAUGAAUUGGCUCUGUCUAGGCAGUGAGCAAAGUGAACCCCUUGGGCGGUUACAAAAGGGCAGGAGGUGAGACAGAAAAAUAGGGUCUGGAGGCAGGGAGCAUAAGGCCAACUCACACUUAAGCUAUAACAGGAAAUAUCCUCUCCACAGAGCAUACAGCAGGUGAGUGACUUUGUAACUUUACUUCAUCCUCUUCAUUUACAUAGGGCAUACCCCAAGUCGAGGGUAUCUAAACACUCAAACAUUCUGUAACAGAGCCUUUGAGCCCCUAUGCCCAGACCCGC
Long non-coding RNA from Gorilla gorilla gorilla (western lowland gorilla), 2925 nucleotides. RefSeq lists it as uncharacterized. The record is from RefSeq and is a predicted model, not a curated record. The transcript is spliced from 3 exons. NCBI's taxonomy places the organism in Eukaryota, Metazoa, Chordata, Mammalia, Primates, Hominidae.